UAUUGGUCCCUUCGCAACGAGAAGCUACGAACUCCGCCAGGCCUGGAAGGGAGCAACGGUAGUGGUGUAUCGUGUGCCGAGGUGUGGCUGGUAGGG
RNAcentral lists this signal recognition particle RNA (96 nucleotides) under Oleispira sp. Its description in RNAcentral is "signal recognition particle sRNA small type". It matches the Rfam family "Bacterial small signal recognition particle RNA". Rfam says of the family: The signal recognition particle (SRP) is a universally conserved ribonucleoprotein involved in the co-translational targeting of proteins to membranes. Archaeal SRP consists of a 7S RNA and homologues of the eukaryotic SRP19 and SRP54 proteins. The record is from RNAcentral. Lineage: Bacteria; Pseudomonadati; Pseudomonadota; Gammaproteobacteria; Oceanospirillales; Oceanospirillaceae.